AGUGAACGCUGGCGGUAGGCCUAACACAUGCAAGUCGAACGGCAGCACAGUAAGAGCUUGCCCUUACGGGUGGCGAGUGGCGGACGGGUGAGGAAUACAUCGGAAUCUACUUUUUCGUGGGGGAUAACGUAGGGAAACUUACGCUAAUACCGCAUACGACCUACGGGUGAAAGCAGGGGAUCUUCGGACCUUGCGCGAUUGAAUGAGCCGAUGUCGGAUUAGCUAGUUGGCGGGGUAAAGGCCCACCAAGGCGACGAUCCGUAGCUGGUCUGAGAGGAUGAUCAGCCACACUGGAACUGAGACACGGUCCAGACUCCUACGGGAGGCAGCAGUGGGGAAUAUUGGACAAUGGGCGCAAGCCUGAUCCAGCCAUACCGCGUGGGUGAAGAAGGCCUUCGGGUUGUAAAGCCCUUUUGUUGGGAAAGAAAAGCAGCAGGUUAAUACCCCGCUGUUCUGACGGUACCCAAAGAUUAAGCACCGGCUAACUUCGUG
RNAcentral lists this ribosomal RNA (492 nucleotides) under uncultured bacterium. RNAcentral's name for it is "partial 16S ribosomal RNA". It matches the Rfam family "Bacterial small subunit ribosomal RNA", at positions 29 to 507 of the family's 1533-position model. The record is from RNAcentral.